CACGAAAUGAAGCUCGAACGAGCACAGCCAAAGAACGGCCGUUUCUGUCCUUUCUUCUUAAUCCCUUUGGCUUAGGGUUUCCCGGCCUGGACAGCCUGCCCAAGGGCACAUGGGCAUCCGUCCGGGGACAUUCAGGCAGUGACCAAUCCCAGGCCACCCAGGCUGCGCCCUGCGUCGUGGGCCAUUUCCCAGCCGGCCAGAGAUGGAGCAGCCACUGCGGGUCCCCGAGUCUCGCACCAACCCGGAGACCACCCUCGGCCGGAGCCCAGCACGGCCACCGUCACGUCUCGGUCGUCCAGCUUGGGACAGCCCCCAAGGAGAAGAGGUGCUGAACUGGGUCCCCUGGAGGCUCCUGAGCCCCAGAACAGUGCCCUCUGAGCAGACGGGCACUCUCAGACCAGCUCACGCUGGACAAGUCAGCUCCUGCCUGCCGCCUGAUGGGCCCUUGGGAGAAGCAGACAUGGUGAGGAAAAGGCCCCUGUGCCCUUCACCCUAAUUCCCCAGCCCCAAGUCCCACUGGGUUGCCAGCUUCAACCUAAGCAAAUAAUUCGUGCCCUCUAAACAAACGCGCGGGAAUCCCACCUGCCC
Molecule: long non-coding RNA, 588 nt
Filed under: Sus scrofa (pig)
Lineage: Eukaryota; Metazoa; Chordata; Mammalia; Artiodactyla; Suidae
Description: lncRNA (ENSSSCG00015004136.1)
Source: RNAcentral